Small nuclear RNA from Triticum aestivum (bread wheat), 156 nucleotides. RefSeq annotates it as U1 spliceosomal RNA. The record is from RefSeq and is a predicted model, not a curated record. NCBI's taxonomy places the organism in Eukaryota, Viridiplantae, Streptophyta, Magnoliopsida, Poales, Poaceae. The transcript has a single exon.
AUACUUACCUGGAUGGGGUCGAUGACUGAUCAACAAGUGUCGUGGCCUAGGCUAGUGGUUCACAUUGCACUUGGUGGAUGCAGUUAUCUAUUACUCUUAGUUGACAAAAUGAUAUAUCAAUGUAAGAUUGAAUAGAAGGCAUCACCAUCCCUCGAA